CGUCUGUACAAUUUCCCCCUUCUCCUCAUUGUUCUUGUUCUUUUAUUUACAAUUCAAUUAAACUUUAAAUUCAUUGAUUCAAGUUACUGUUUUUUUGCUUUUGGAUUCAGGCUCCUACUUGGAAUACGCUAAAGAUGUCAUUUUUUAUGCUGGGUUUGUGUCUUGCUGUUAUGUUGGGCUUGGCUUUUUCCUCAAGUGACUUGUCUUUGACUCUCCAUGUUGCGUUCCUCUUUUUAAUAACUGGAACCCUCUUCGUACUUCUUAGCAGGUGUGUUUCAGCUUUUAUCGUUCAAUGUUGACAUUUGAGCUCUAUUUUUGUAUUGUUACUUUUGCCUACAUGUGAAUGCACUUGGAAUUUGUUACCUAAACUUGUAUUGCUAGAUUAAAGGAUUUAUAUAAAUAAAUAUGUAACCCGUUAUUACGAGGUGAUUUGACUCCGUGGAUCAUCUGCUGCUACUAAAUGCAGAGACACAAAUAUUAACUGGGAAAGUCAAAAGUACUAUGGAGAAACUAAACAUUGUUUGUUAGCUGACAUGGUCUUGUUGUCUGUUAAUUAGAUUGUUCAUUAAUGUGUGUUUGACCUUGUUGCGUAGUGUAGUAGUAAAACUGUUGGACUAGAAAAUCUUUUCUGACUUGAUAUUCUUUUGUAGAAAGUUGAAACUUUAAUGUUCUGUUAUUGAAAAUUUCAAUUUUGAAAUCUGAGAAUCUUCUGAUCAAACCUCUGGUUAAUGGUGAGAAAGGGAGAUAACUUGCCUUGUUUCCGAUAUUGGACAUGAAUCUGAUAUGUUGAUUGAGUCUGAGGUGAAAAUGCAUUCUGAUUGUUGUAAAUGCAAGUAAAGGACAAACCUCUAAGUUAAGAUUGAAUAGUUGUUUGACUUUCAGCUCUUAUUUUACAAAUCUAGGUCAGUAGCUGAUCAAGUAGCUAAGAUUACAUUCUGCUAUCUUGUAGUUUGUUGAAUCCAAAUUGUUUCACAUUGUCACAACUCGUCAAAGAAAAUAGUUGUGAAGCUUGUGCUAGCCUCAUUCAUUCCAGUGUGGAGCAGUCUAAAAUCAUGUGUGUUAUUUUGGAUGAGUAAUUUGCUUCAUCCAGUCCUGGAAUUCAUUUUGGCCCGCCGGGGCUUUGGCCUAGUGGUAAGAGCGCAGCAUCUGACAUGUGAGUAAGGCACACAUCAUGACUUCGACCCUACAAUAGACAAGAGUCUGGUAUUUAAGUUGAGAAAGGUAGAGGGACGGAACCCACCAUUCAUCGAGUUUCGAACCGUGCUCCACUCGCUCUCGGCAAUUUCUUGGUUAUUAAAAACAAGUUAUGGAAUUCAUUUGGUCACUUCCUUUUUUUUUUUAAUUUUUUGUUAGUAACUCAUUAGGUCAUUAGAGAAACUGUUUAACAUAGUUUUGUUGUAAAUUAACUGUCAACUUUCAUGGUAGUUUGGAGUUAAAGAAACUGCUAUCUCUCUCUCGUUUCCCCCUUACCGCAGUUGCUGGGUGUGGCAGGCCUGCUUUUGCCUACAGUGUGUAAAACUGCUACUUAUUCAACAUAGCAUCCAGCUUUUUGCAUUGUUACUAAAUUUAAGUUUCACUUGCUCCUAUGAACAAUUAUAUUAUUCAAUCACAUGACAAUAGUUGAAUUUACUGCAAAGAUUUAAUGCAUAGUUUUUUUCUCCUUUAGGUUUCUAGCAGAGACUGGGUUUGUUUCUGUUGAACAUCAAAUGGAGGAAAUAGGCUUAGCACCCAGAGAUGAAGAUAAAAGCAAGAAAACCAGUUGAUGCUUUUAUAAUCAGAUUUUAUCAUUACAUGUCAUGACGUUUCCAAGAGUAUUACAUUUUGCACGGUACUAUCAUGAUGAUUGAAAGCUCGACCUUGACCUUCUUGUUAGAGAAAAAAAAGAAUGGGCGACGUAAAUCCUGUGCUCAAUAUAUGCUAUCCUCCAACCAAGGUCCUGUAAAAUGCUCCUGAACUGAACAGCUCUUUCAAUUUUCCUUCGGUUCCUUCUCCUUCGACUUUCCUUUUUUCUGCUUGAUGAAGCAGAAACACAAACAGCAAGGAAGCUGCAACAGGAAUUUCAUUUUUCUCUUCUUUAGUCACCACAAAUGUUACUGAAAAUCAUUAUGUAUAUAUGAGGGCUUCCUGCCCUUGAUCUGUAUUCUCUCUUUUAUUUAUUUUUUUCUCCUGUGAUUCUAUUCCUAUUCCCUACAGAUAAGAAGAUGCCUUUCUUAGGAGCCAUAAGCUAACCAAGUUGAUGUAUGCCAGAGGAAAAAUGGUUCGUUUCGCUUUCCUUUCUUCAAAGGUAAGGUUUCUUAAUACAAACCAUAAGUUAUUUUCAAGGAAGUCCAAAUCUUUAAGCUAUCAUUCAAUAUAGUAGUAUUAUCUUUUUGGUCAUAGAACUAGAAUGAGUUGACGAUUUAUUAUAAUACUUGAAUUUUGUUCGUCUGGUAAUGUUAUUAAAACUAAUAUUAUUACAAAGUUAUAACAGUAAGUUAAUCUCGUUGAGUGUUCUGUUUUCUAACGCAGAAUUGAAAAUUCUCAAUGACAUAUACCUAAAGUCACCUGCUGUCAAGAUAGGGGAGGCCUAGGUUCCGUAUUUUACCUUUUGAUCCAAAUAUUUAUUAGUUAUGGUUCAUUUAGUUUCUUGCACUAAAAAAACUGUGCAGACUGGUCUUAUAUUCCAUUUUAAAUGUAAUUUUAUCGAUAUGAUUCUCAUAGGAGAUCAACAAAAUAUAACUCAUGAGAUUGGUAAAUAAAACAUAGUAACAUAUUUUUGUAAGAUUAUUAAUGAUGGGAAUCCUAUCGAUAAGAAGAGGCAUAAGCAUUGCCUCUCGAUUGAAUCUGUCUCCCCAACACACUCUUGAUACGAAAAAAAACCUCUUGCCAUAGAGGAGAAUUAAAUUUUUAUCCUCCCUUGAAUUUGAACUAGUCAAGAGAGAGAUGGACUCGCACCAUAUUUUUAUGAAUCGAAACCCCCAAUUAAAGAUGAAAUUCUAGAACCCGAUUUUCUUCUAUUCAAAUUUUUAUGGUUCAUUUAGUUUCUUGCACUAAAAAACUGGGCAGACUGGUCUUAUAUUCCAUUUAAAACGUUAUUUUAUCGAUAGGAUUCUCAUUGGAGAUCAAUAAAAUAUAACUCAUGAGAUUGGUAAAUAAAACAUAGUAACAUAUUUUUGUAGGGUUAAUAAUGGCGGGAAUCCUAUCGAUAAGAAGAGGCAUAAGCGUUGCCUUUCGAUCGAAUCUAUCUUCCCUGGCCUCCCCAACAAACUCUUGAUACAAGAAAAACCUCUCGCCAUAGAGAAGAGAUCAGAAUUUUGGUCUCUUCGAUCAUCCUCCAUUGAAUUUGAACUAGUCGCAUCAUAUUUUUCUGAAUCGAAACCCCCAACUAAAGAUGAAAUUUUAGAACUUAAUUUUCUUCUAUUCAAAUUUCAACGGAUCAUAAGAGAUCUUUCUCAAGCACUAUUCUGCCGUGAAAUUCUAGUUUCUGGCAUAAAAUGCUGCAUUACUAGUGCGUAUUUGAUUACAAUUUUCAAAAUCUUCUACGAAGGUGCUUUUACAUGAGAGAUUCUAUUAAAACCAACGUUUUAUUGAGAGUUAACUAUUUCAAAAAAGUCACUCUAAGGAAUCCCUUUAUUAGAGCUAUAUGUAUGAUGUAACUUUAGUUUUGUACUUGCGGGCAUAGUUUAACAAUUGAUGUUUGAUGAAGUUUGAAUGAAGACGGUAAAGAUUAUGUUUGCGAUUGAAUAUAAUUAAAAAACUUAAUUGAUUUUUCUCUUUCUGUCUUAAGCUUUGAUGAGUAAGUGUUAUCACCUACUUUUACUGGUAGAGGGAUGUGGGUGUUGGAAUUAGGGGCAGGGGUGUACAAAGGAAAUCGACAAAUCGUACCAACCCGAUAAUCCGAGUCAAACCGAGAAAAAAAAUCCAAUUAUGGGUUGGUUUGAUUUGGUUUAGUGUUGGAAAAAAAACCCAACCAUAAUUGGUUUGGUUUGGUUUGGUUUUAAUUAAAGAAAGUCAAACCGAAACCAAACCAACCCGACAUUACAUAUAUAGAAAUAAAUAGUGCUAACAAAAGUCCAAACCAAAAAUCAAAUCAAUACUAAUGCUAACAAAAGACAAUCAAUUCAAUACUACGAACGACAAUGUAUUGAAUAUCUAUUUUUUGUUUUGCAANNNNNNNNNNNNNNNNNNNNGUUUAGUCAUGUAUUUAAUACUCCCUUAUUAGUCUACUUAUUUUAGCAUGACUUAGUACUCUUAGAUUAUGUUUAUUUCUAUUAUGGCUUUUUAAUUAGCAAUAUUUAUAUUACAUAAUUUUAUUGUCUUUAUUGUUGAAUAUUUUAGGCUAAUGCCAUGACAUAUCUUAUAUUUUGUAUUAUUUUCUUGGACAAUACUUUAUAUAGUUGUAUCUUACUAGGACUAAAAAUAUUCUGAGCAUAAUUUAUAUGUUUUGUUCUACGAAGAUUUUACCGGGAAAAAAACCCGAAUAAUCUGAAAAUUCGAGAAAACCCGAGAGUGAAAAAUCCGAGUUUUAUUGGUUUGGUUUGGUUUGGUUGUUAGAUUUAAUAAUUCGACACAUUUGGUUUGGUUUGGUAAUUGUAAAAUCUGAAUUAACCCGACCUAUGUACACCCCUAAUUAGGGGUGUCAAUGGUUCAGUUCAGUCAGUUAUUUUAUAAAAUUAGUACUACACCAAUUUUUCGAUUUUUCCAUUUUAUAUAACCAAAAUUAGUGUCAUGCCCCGAACCUGGACCUGGACGUAAUACGACACUCGGAGCCUGAUACAUGUGACCGAGCGAAUCAACUGGCUGGCUGAAUCAACAUGUGAUAUCAUAACAUACUAAAUGCGAAAGAUAAACUAACACAUGCUGAUAUACUGAAAGUCUGAAUGAUAAAAGUCAAAGUGUGGAAACACUAAUACAAGUCUGAAACUUGUCUGUAGCCAACAUUACUUAACACAAAAGCUUGUGACUCUGUCUAAUUGAUACUCUAGUAUAUGAAGCCUCUAUUUGAGUACUGAAAACGCUGACUGUCUGUAAAUACUGAAGACUGUAGUAAUGAUAAUGCCUCGAAAAAAUUGGGGAUCACCAAAUAGCUGGUACGAGAAUCUUAGCACUCUGAAUCGUCAACCUGUAAAUCAUUACCUGCAUCGUGAGAUGCAGGCCCCGAGCAAAAGGGACGUCAGUACAUUUGAAUUGCACUGGUAUGUAAAGCAACUGAAAGAAAGAAUUAUAAAUGCUAAAACUGAAACUAAGCUGAUAACUGGGAAUUGAUAAUUGGUAACUGAAAUGAUUACUAUUGAAACUGAAACUGAACUGAUAACCGAACUGAUAACUGAUAACUGAUAACUAAACUGGAAAAAGGAAAGUAAGAAUAUGAAUACUCCCUCUUCUGAAUGAUGAACAACAUGUUUAUCUGAAUAAGCUACGGCCUCGGGCCCAAUAUAUAUGUGCACAAGCUACGGCCUCAGGCCCAAGUAUACGUAUACAUAACUACGGCCUCAGGCCCAAAAAUGCAUAAAGCAUAAAUUACGGCCUCAGGCCCAAACGUGCAUAAAACAUAAGCUACGGCCUCAGGCCCAAACAUGCAUAAAGCAUAGACUACGGCCUCAGGCCCAAGUAUGCAUAAAGCAUAUAAACUACGGCCUCAGGCCCAAAUACAGGUGUUCAACAUUCAGGAAUUUAAAAUCAGAAACUGAGAAUCAUACUGCAAUACAUGAUAGUGAAAUAUUGAAUCACAUUGAGUUACAUGAUACUGGAAUACUGGAUCAUACUGGGUUACAUAAUACUAGAAUACUGAAUGGGACUAGACUGAGACAUGUAUUCUUGAACUGAUUAUGAAUACUGAAAUUUCAACUGUAUAUGGCAUACUGAGUAAUCUAUACUAAGACUCGGGAGCAUCAACCCAAGUCUAUAUUGAAUACGCACCGAGCUCACACGUUCUGAAUGAAAGUCAUGAGCGAGUUAUGAAGCUAGAGAAUAGAAGUUCUACAACUGUUCAAGGAACUAGGCUUAACUAUAUUUCUGAGGCAAUUAGUAACGUCAUAAAAGAAACGUAGUGUAGGGAGAAUCAUUAACUUUCUCAAACAUAGAGAGUUAGCCUCACAUACCUCAAUUUCACCCCUUAGUGAUACUACAAUGAUCCACAACACUAAGAACCUUCAAUCUACAAUAGAACAUCCAAUGGAACUAAUAUUAGUAACAAAUUCCAUAACUUAAGUCAUUUAGGCAUAUUAUCAAACACAGUGUAGACAUAAAUCUCUACAUCUCAUUGCCAUAUAAUUAGUUCAUCUAACUACCACCAUUCAUCAACAAUUUAUCCCACCAUCUUGAUUAACCAAUUUAUAUCUUCCAAAAUCACAUAUAUGACCAUUCAUCCACACCCAACCAACAAGGUUCCAUUAAAUAAACAUCUUUCAAUCUCUAUAAUAGUUGUUUAAUCAAAUUGGGAACUUAUGGUUUCCAAUCACCAUACCAAAAGUUUCAAUACUUAUUCAUACUCAUAUUCCCUUAUUAAAUCUAUACAUGAAAGUCUAAGGGUGUAGGAUUACCUUUUUGGAAGAAAUCUUGCAAAACCUUCUUUUGAGUUCUUGAAGAUCUAAGUAUUUUAUGUGUAGAUUUCAUCAAUACUAGUAUAUAAAUUAUAGAAUUCAUACCAAGAUAAUGGGGAUUGCUUACCUUGAAGGUGGGAGGGGUUGGAGGUCUUGAGAUGGUGGAGGAAAACCCUAAAAUUCGUCCAAAUGAAGUGGGGAAAAUAACCCCCGAAGGUUUUAUAUCAAAAUAGGGUCGGUUGACAAAAAACGAAGAUUUGCACAGCCGCGGCGCAUGGGGAGACGCAUGGAGCGGCGUGGUAAUGAAAAAUGUAUUUAGAAUCGAAAUUUGGAGGUGCUCUGUUAAUUUACACAGCCGCGCCGCAUGAGGCGGCACAUGGGGCAGCACGAUAGUGUAAAAGUCUGUGCUGCUUUUGGUAAUUUGGUCAUAACUUCUGGUAGGAGUGUCCAAAUGACGAACGGUUUGAAGCGUUAGAAACUAGACUCAAAGAUCUUUCAUUUGAUAGAUUGUGAAUCACAUAAUACCUUGUAUAAAUGUAGAUAUGCUCGUCCAAAAUAUAGUCUUGUGCGUGCUCAUUUAGAAUUUUAGUUUAUCAUGUAAUUUUUCAACUUGGCUUAGACUUAGGUCUUUCCUUGGAUCCCAAAUCACUUAUGAUAUGCCUCGUACACUUAUUAUCACAACCAAUUAAUAACCAUCAUAUUAAUACUCAUUUAAUGCAUCCACAACUGAUUCAAAUUUACGGGGUGUUACAAUUAGACUUUUCAGAAUCAUCCCAAUCAUCUCGAUUUUUCUUCGGUAUCGGUAUGGUUCGAUUAAUUUUUCGGUAUUUUUUUUAAAAUGUCAUGUAAGAGUCCCUAGUAGAAGUUAGAAUGCCAUAAAUAUGUACUUGUAUAGGACUUUGGCAAAACUCUAAAGACAUUUUUACUAUUUAAAAAAUGGUAAUCAAGUUGUAACUCAAAAAUAGAGUUUAUUACAAGAUUAGCAUCCAACAAGAGAAAUCUAAAUCAUACGAGGGAAAAGAUAUCUAAUACCUUGUGGCUUGCUAGUUGUUAUUCAAAAUGUUGGAACUAAUUUAGUUUCAAUAAGCGUAUCAGAAUAGAUUUAAAAGUUGGAAUUUUUGGGUGUUAAUUACUUGUAGCUAGGGGUGUACAAAGGAAACCGACAAACCGCACCAACCCAAUAAUCCGAGUCAAAGCGAGAAAAAAACCCAACUAUGAUUUGGUUUGGUGCUGGGAAAAAACCCUGACCAUAAUUGGUUUGGUUUGGUUUUAACUAAAGAAAGUCAAACCGAAACUAAACCAACCCGACAUUACAUAUAUAUAAAUUUUAGAUAUAUUUAAUAUAUAAAUAUACUUAUUGUGAUGUAAUUUAUAAAUAUUUCUUAAACUUUUUCAUAAUUUUAUCUUUUAAGUUAUUAUUUCAAGGUUGAACUUAGAACUUUUGAAUGUUCCAAUAGGUUUUAUAGUCAUUAAUAUUAGUUAACUUAAAUAAUGCUAACGCAAGCCUAAACCAAAAUCAAAUCAAUACUAAUGCUAACAAAAGACAAUUAAUUCAAUACUACGAACGACAAUGUAUUGAAUAUCUAUUUUUUAUUUUGCAAUAAUUUAGAUAAAAACGCAUAACUUAUUUUUAUUUUUUCUUUAACGUUCAGUCAUGUAGUAAUUAAUACUCCCUUAUUAGUCUACUUAUUUAGCAUGACUUAGUACUUUUAGAUUAUGUUUAUUUUUAUUGUGGCUUUUUAAUUAGCAAUAUUUAUAUAACAUAAUUUUAUUGUCUUUAUUAUUGAAUAUUUUAGGAUAAUAUCAUGACACAUCUCAUAUUUUAUAUUAUUUUCUUGAAAAAUAUCCUAUAUAGUUGUAUCUUACUAGGAUUAAAGAAAUAUUUUGAGCACAAGUUAUAUGUUUUGUGUUACGAAGAUUUUACCGGAAAAAAAACGAAAAACCCGAAAAUCCGAGAUUGAAAAAUCCAAGUUUUAUUGGUUUGGUUUAGUUUUUAGAUUUAAUAACCCGACACAAUUAGUUUGGUUUGAUAAUUGUAAAAUCCGAACCAAUCCGACCUAUAUACACCCCUACUUGUAGCCAUUUUUAUAAUUCCAAGGCCCAAUUUUUUUUAAUGCUUUGUUAGUUUUAAACGUAAUAUAUAAAAUAUAUGUUUUAUAUUUAUUCGGUAUGAUUGAGUUUUUUUCGGUUUAUUUUUAUAAAAUUUAAAACUGAUCUUAUUAUUUGGUAUGAUUAUAGAUUUAUAUAUGAAUCUACUAUUUUAUCGAAAAAAAUCUAAUAAUCGGUUUGAUAUGAUUCGGUUCGGUCGAUUUUUAUUUAAAUAUUUAUUGACACCCCUAGAUAAAAUAAUUGAGGACGUGCAAGUUAGUCCUGCACCGCAUUAUCGAAAAAUAGUUCUCCUCGAGUGAAAACGUCGAAGUGAGGUAAAGGGAAUAAACGACUCAUACACUGUUAGCUUAUAGUAGAUCAACAUUUGUCCAAAUUUACGUAACUUGUCCUAUGUGUUGAAAGUUAGAAGAGUGACAUAUAAGAAUGGGUCAAAAUAUUAAACCCAAGCUGAUCCAUAAAAGAUAAAAGAAAUUUGGUUAAAAAUUGGCUGAGAUGCAACCAAAUGGGUUGAUUCUUCACCCUAUAUUUUGGACGAAUAGUUUCUCAAUUCUCUUAGUAAAGCAUAACAUAACAAGAAAGAACUAAAUUAAUAGAGAGGAUUUUUCUGACACAUGUAUUCUUGGAGAAGUGGUAUCGAACUGGGCCGGGUUUGGUAAUUUUGUGACCCGUACUCAAACCCAUAUCGACUCUCAAGUCAAAAUUGACCCGAACAUUCUUUUGUAGAAUUGGAUCAUGAGUCAUGACAUGUACUUUUGCUGCCUGUCCUUCCUACCUUUUGAUAUGCUUGCAACAAAUUACUUACUGGAGUACUAUAAAUCUAGAAAUCUGAAAAAUCGAAUAUUGCUCAUUGAUCUUUUGACUUCAGCUUAAUUAAAAGUUUUGGAUUAGUGAUGCUCCUUAAAACAGAAUAUUAUGUUAAUAUUUAGAUAAUCUUACUAACUUACCAUAUUUGUCUACGUUUUUUAAAAUAAUUAUUUAAUAUUACAAUUCACUAUUUCGACUAUUCAAAUUCACGUUAUGUAAGACCCAUUUAACUCGAGCUCAGAACAUAUAUAGUUAAGGGUGAAAGGAUUACCUUCCACCAUAUCCAAUGGUUUCCUAACAUGAUUUGAGCUACUGAACUUCUUGAAUUUCGUAAUUUGCAUAUGAAAAUUCUACCAAUUAUUAAGUUACUGUUAAAAAUCAAUUAUUCUAAUGAAAUUUAGUAGGCAAUCCAAUUACUUAAAUAAAAAUGGUAUCUAGUUAACAAUAGUUUAAUUUCUUACCAAUGAUAUAUCAUCUUACUUGUUGCAUAUAGAUUGUAAUAAGAGUCACACAAUCUCAAUGCCAUGUGAUAUUAUUCCUUUUUUUUGUUGGGUAACUAUUUGAUGGUCAAUACUAAUUGAUGGGAUUAAAAAAAAAACCUUUAUGACCUUAGAAAAUGGUAGAUAGCAACUACAAUAAAGAUGUAAAUUAUAUCACGCCUUUAAUCUAUGCUAUCAACAGUCACAAUUUGUCAAGCAUAAAUUUAUUUAAUACCAUUAUCCUUUUCCAAACUGAAUAAAUAUGAUGGGAUUAAAUAAAUAACUGUAUGACCUCCGAAAAUGGCAGGUAGUUAGCAUCAAUUUAUCUCUAUUAUCUUCACUCACAGAAUCUCAAGUAUUACAAGUAUCUAAAUUAGAUCACACCCUUAAACUUUUUUUUUUAAUUGAUUGAUAACUCACUUUAAAAAAAAAACAUAAUUCUUUAAUAAUAACUUGUAAAUAGGCCACAUUAAGCAUGCCGUUUAGUCUAAAAUAGAUUUUAAAUACUCUAUACAAAGUAUUAUGCAUUGACAAUGUAAAAAAAUUAUACUGUCAUUUUUUUUAAAAAAAAAAAAAAAUGAGGGGAUGGGGGUUGUUUCUUGUUGAGAUAUUUAUGAGUUUUAACCGUCUUGUGGAGAGAUGACUUUGUGGGUUCAGAACUUUGCGUUGAAUUCAGAGCAAAAAUUGCUAAGAAACCGAAAAGGGACUUGCACAAAAUUAAUGAGUGAUUGUCCAAUUGUGAAAAAGUAACUUUCGAUUAGCUCAAAUUUAAGAAGGUUCACUAACUUUUAUCGUCACCUCUUUUGGUUCGAAGCUUCGGAGGUUUAAGUAUUGCAGUAAAAACUAUUGUCUGUUUGUCACCUAAAAAACAGUUCAUUUCAUUUUCUUCUUCUGCUUCCUUCUUAGAAUUGGCUUCUAUUCUGACUUUGCCUCAAAUGCAUUAAUACCUCUUUAUUUUGUUAUUUAUUAUUUAAGUAAAUACUGGACUAUAAAAAAAGGUAAAAUACUCAAAGGAUAACAAAGUGAAAAAGAACAAGAUUCAAUGGGAAUCCUUUUAUAUUUAUUUACAAUGUAAAUGAAUUUGUUAAAGAAAAUUAAAAUUUUAGUGCUUACAUAAUUUGAUUAACUAAAUUUUUUUUCUCCCUCCCCCUCCACCCAAGGAAAAGGAGAGACACAGCAUCACAAUUUUUUUUUUUUUAAAAAUUGAGGCUUUUCACCAAAAAUAACAAAAAGAAAAAAAAAAGGGGUAAACAAAGAGUUAGGGGUUAAAUAAAAAUGAGGAGAAAAUAAAAAGAAAAGGGAGAAAAAGGGGAAUAAGGAUGAAAAGAGAAAUAGCAGAGCUUCAAAUUCUGCGCAUUGUUCCAAUGAAGAAUUAAUAUAAAUAGUUGUUCACUUAUAUGUAUAGUUCAUGUAUAUUAUGUGUGUAAUUAUGUAUAAUCGAUGUAUAAUUCAUGUAUAACGACUAGAAAAAAUAAACAAUGAAUUAAUUCGGUUGUUUAUUUGCGUAAAGAUCUCACAAUUACUGGUAAAAUCUUAUCACUCAAAUCAUUUUCACCAUUGUCCAAUGGCCACCAUUUCUCUCUCUCCUCUUUUCCUUUUAAAACCCAAUAUAUAUACUACAUAUACAUAUAUAUAUAUAUAUAUUUUUUUUUUUUCCUUUCAUUUUUGCAUGGUACUUUCACUCGCUACUUCACUUGCUACAAAGCUUCCAGCUUUCAUUUCCACCACCUCAUUCUCACCUCAACUCUCUCAUUCUCUCCCUUCCAACUCUCUUUCAUCUCUCUCUCUGCAUUCUUGUUACUGUAAUCCAACUGAGAUUUUGGUUCUUGAGACUCUUUCCCUUCAUCUUUCCCCUUCUCUUUUCUGUGAUUAAGUUUUCUGGUGAUCAUGGCCAGUUUGCAGGCAAGACGCUCGUAAGUUUAUUAUGUGUUCACCAGUUAUUUUAUACGUACAUUUUUAAUGAUUGAUACUCUGUGCUUGUCUACUUUUAUUUUGAUUUUUGGUGUAUGUGAUUCUUUUCCCUUUGUUUGACUGUUUUUUGUCAUGCUUUUCUUUUAUUUGUUUGUGUUUUUCAGACUUGAACUUGUCAUUCUUGAUUACAUGACUAAGAGAGGUUUCCGCCAGAGUCGUGAGGUAUUCGCCACAGAAAUUCUUGCUAAUCCAGUUCCUGUUGGUAAGUAUCUCCUUUUAAUGAAUUCUAUUCUUUUAAUCAGAUGCUAAAAGCUGAUCCUAUGAUGAAUUAAGAUAUGUGCUCUAGUAACGAUUGUUCUUUACCUGAGAGGGUCGUAAAAUUCUCAUGCCUAGUUUAGUAAUUCUUAUAUAUGACCAUAGGUAGAUUACUGAUCAUGUUGUUCUUGAAAAUUUUGAUAAUAAGUUGAGGUCGCUCUCUUUGAUGCAUGUGGUACAAUUUGAUUACCUGAUGUUGGAUGUUUUUGAAACAGGGUCGUCUCAACAAGAUUGGGGGUAUAAAGCCAAAUUUCAGAGAGAGGCCCUAAGUAAGAAUAUCAACGACAAAUUUUCAAUGAAAAAAUAUAAAAUAAAGGUAGAAUUAUAAAAUCGGCUCAAGAAUUUGAUAAGUUGAUAUACAACAACAUAUCCAGUAAAAACCCACAAAGUGUGGUCUGGGGAGGUAGAGUGUACGAUGAACUUUUCUCUAUCUUGGGAGGUAGAGAGGUUGUUUCCCAAAGACCUUUAGCUCAAGAGAAAGCAUGACAAAAAACAGGUUAGAUAAGGACAAUCAAUUUAAUGCAGUAUGAAAAUGAAAGUAACGAAAGCGAAUAAGUCAUGAUAAAGUAGUCUACAAAGGAGCAGUAGCUAUCACAUAUAAAUAAGAUAAUCGAAGCACAAGAAAUAAUAGAUAGUAGUAGAAAUCAAAGAGUAAGAAACUAUUGAACAAGAUAAGUUGAUAUAAUUAUAUCGAAAACUGUUGCGUUGCUUCAAUAUAAUGAUUGGUUGUUGUAAUACUUGAUAUUUUGAAGAAGACAACUUGUAAACCGUGGUAAGUUGCCGAUUGAGAGACUUUUCAAUAUUGAGAAUAAAAAUAGUAAAAGAGAGAAUGAAAAAUGUAAGUAUAUAAAUAAUAAUGUGGGCCCGCAUAUUGCUAGGAUAUAAAUGAGGCAAAAAAAUAACUACCCUACCCAUGUAAAGAAACAAUUCAUAAAAAAAUAUUUCAUUCUCUAAUUAUUACAACGAUCCUCAUAUUAAAGUUAUCUUACUUUCGCUCCAAAAAUUCUUUUUAAAUUUAAAUGUACACAGAUUGUUUUUAAUAAUACAUAUACAACACAUCUUUAAGGAAAAAACGGGCCCCCAAAAAAGUUGGGGCCCAACGAUUGCUUUACUGGCCUUAUAGUCGAGCCACCUGUGUUUUGAAAGUACUGAAAGUACUGUAUUAACUGCCCUUCAGUAAUUUAGAGAGAGAGGAGAGAUGUAUAACGGAGUUGACGUGAUGUGUUAAUGUGAUACAGUUCUUUGGAGUAAUAAUUUUUGAUUUUGUGAUAUUGUUUCAGCUAUCAAUUCUCCUGAAGGAUUUCUGCAAGAGUGGUGGAAUAUGUUUUUUGAAGCUUUCAGCUCUAGGUUCCCUGAGGCUGCUGUACUAGCUACCGAAUCCUUUGAAAAGGUGUUACCCGUGGAACUUUCUAUACCAUGUUCAUGUUUAACUGAUGUGAAAUAAUUCUUGCUAACUAAAUGCUUGAUUUCUAAAUUCUCAGGUUGCACAGACAGUGAAGAGCAUUGUGUCUAAUAGUGGUCCUGCAAAUCCAUCCUAUGCUUCUAACCAUACAGGAGCAGACAUCUCUAAUGUGAUGGCAUCCUCUCCUAUAAUUCCGCCCCCUCAUUUGAUAGCAUCCGGCAGUCCUGAUCUUAUGGAUGCUAAGAUUUCAGAUUUAUUGUCAUCCAUUUGUGAAUUACCAAAUUUAUCUCCUCCAAGAGACAUGCCAUCAAGCUCACAGUUUCUUGAGAUGAGUGAAAUGGAUGGCAUGCUUCCAUUUGCAAGCAAUUCCGGGU
RNAcentral lists this long non-coding RNA (13915 nucleotides) under Nicotiana tabacum (common tobacco). RNAcentral's name for it is "long non-coding RNA (NTAB_LNC016015)". Lineage: Eukaryota; Viridiplantae; Streptophyta; Magnoliopsida; Solanales; Solanaceae. The record is from RNAcentral.